Molecule: long non-coding RNA, 1609 nt
Organism: Dromaius novaehollandiae (emu)
Lineage: Eukaryota; Metazoa; Chordata; Aves; Casuariiformes; Dromaiidae
Source: Ensembl
CGGGCCGCGCCGAACUUUUCUGUUUUCUCUUUUUUUCGCCUCUCCACACGCAGCGCUGCUGGCCGCUGCCGCAGCCCGCGGAGCGCUCCGCGGGGCCCCCUCCCUCCGCGACGGCAGGCUGGGCCGCAGCAGGACUCCCCGCCGCCUCCCUGCUUCUGGAAAAAUCCUGCGUGUUUUAAACUCGCUCCGUGGCACAGCGCUGCRCCCAGCCGCUGUCGGACCGGAGCAAGCUUCGUUUACUCUACACUGAGCACCACGCGAGGAGCCGCGUGUCCAGGCACCUCCUCGGCCGCYCGCGAUGGGCUCGUGCCAUCGUUAAAGCCGGCCUGCUCGUACACCCGGACACCAAACGGGAAACGUUUUCYGGGGGGAAGCCCUCCCUUGCGGAUCCGUGGAAAUGGUCCCCCUGCACCAAGGGGAGACCCGGCCCCGGCAGCUCGCCCUCGAUGCCACGCGUGCGCUGCCCGCCUGCACCACCCCCUCCUCAUAACUUCCACCCCGAAAACAGCAUCAGCUUUUUCCUUCCAAGAGCCCCAAAGCUCGGGGAUGAGUUCAUCAUUUACACAAGCAAACAUAACCCAGGUUUUUUUAAAGCAGCGGCUAAUUUGAAUAGGUGUCAAGCAGCGAGUUUAUGCUUUGUUAAGGUUCGACAGAAACUAUUGGGAUUAUUAAUGUCACAGUAAAGGUUUGCCGGUUCCUCCCACUGUGUUACGCCAGAUUACCACCGUAGACCAGACAUGCAUAAAAAAUGCUUCCUGCAGCACUGCUGUAAUCAAGCCAUACUUCCACCCCAGUGCUGCGCUAAGCGUCAAGUUGUGGGUGCAGAGACCAACUGGGACAAAGAGGGAUUUUUAAGGAGCCUGCGGCCCCAGUUCUGGUGCCCACAGAAAUGGGGAUAGCUCCCUUCAGCGACAGCUCRUCCUUACAAGAGCUGGUGUGGGACCAGUUUCUGUGAAGGCGUUAGCCAAGCCAAAAGAAAGGAUUGCUGUGAUAUUUAUAUACCGAAAAAUGCAACCAGGAGAGUUUGUAAAUUUGGUCAUCCUGACCCUCAAUUCAUAGCUGUUUGGCAUCGGAGUUGGAUCAGGGACUGAAGCACUUCUGUAUCCCCAUCUUAUUGGAGAGCCGUAAUCCCCAGGCUAUCAAAUUGUUUCUGUUCUCUCACUGGCCCAAUGAAUAUUUAAUUAUUCUUACAAAGCAGAGCAGCUUCAGCAGGACGGAUUCGCAUCCCAGAAUCUGCCAGCGGUUGGGCACUCUCCGAGGAGUUCGGAGACCCAAAUUCAAAUCCCUGGGCAAUCGGGCAAAGAGGGGGGUUCAACCUUAGUUUUACACAUUCCACUUGGCAAAUAAUUCCCAGCUCCCUCCGCCAUCCAGCCCUCUGCUUCCAGAUUUUCUAUUGCUUUUUUAAAAAUAACUUUAAAUGCCCCAAUUAACAAUGAAACAUUUCUAUAACUUUUUCCUUUUUUUUUUWAUUCACAAAGAAAUCUAUAAAUUUUCAUUUUGAGGGAAGAGAAAUAUUUUUAAUUCUUUUCCUGCCGGGCAGCCAAGGAGGACGUUUGUUUGCAGCCCCCAUCCGUGCCUCGGAGCAGCUGCUGGCAGGCGAGGAGCCCUG